AAUGACUGAGGAACGCCGAAGCAGUAGGAGCGCAACGAUCGCAAAGUAUCUUGGGAAGGAACGCGUUGAUGGCAGAAUAUUUUAUUUCAUUGAGUAUUUAUUAACAAUAAACGUUAAAAGUUUAUUGCAAUGUGCAAACGAUCAAAUUUAGAUUGAAGGCGAUAAUCGUGGACGUUGAAAAUUUGAGUUCGUACUAAAAGCGAUCAAAGCUCAACGCGCCCAUCAAAGGCCCAAUUAAAGCCUCCCUGUCCCUGCGCCUAAAGCCCUCAAGUGGCUCAAGAGCUGGGCACUGGGCUGGGCUGCGCUACGCCAGACCGUGUUGCUCUGGCAUCUCUCACGGCCACCUAUACCGACUCGGAGGGCGAGGACGGGGUGGAAGACGAGCGCCUGCAGGAGGAGAAUUCGAACACUCCCCAGGGGGCCGCCCCGCAUAAUGCCCAAGUCGGUCGUCAGCCCC
Molecule: unclassified non-coding RNA, 457 nt
Filed under: Ooceraea biroi (clonal raider ant)
Lineage: Eukaryota; Metazoa; Arthropoda; Insecta; Hymenoptera; Formicidae
Description: sAP30-binding protein, transcript variant X1
Source: RNAcentral